GGAUAACCCGGAGAAAUCCGGCCUAAUACCGCGUAACACCUUUUGGGAGCAUUCCCGGGAGGUUAAAGGAGAGAUCCGGCAUAGGAUGGACAUGCGUCGCAUUAGGUAGACGGCGGGGUAACGGCCCACCGUGCCGACGAUGCGUAGGGGUUCUGAGAGGAAGGCCCCCCACACUGGUACUGAAACACGGACCAGACUCCUACGGGAGGCAGCAGUGAGGAAUAUUGGUCAAUGGCCGAGAGGCUGAACCAGCCAAGUCGCGUGAGGGAAGAAUGUCCUAAGGAUUGUAAACCUCUUUUGUCGGGGAGCAAAAAGGCUCUGCGGAGUCGUAUUGAGAGUACCCGAAGAAAAAGCAUCGGCUAACUCCGUGCCAGCAGCCGCGGUAAUACGGAGGAUGCGAGCGUUAUCCGGAUUUAUUGGGUUUAAAGGGUGCGCAGGCGGCGUGUCAAGCAAGCGGUAAAAUAGCGGGGCUCAACCCCGUCGAGCCGUUUGAACUGGCGCGCUUGAGUUCAGGCGAGGUAGGCGGAAUUCGUGGUGUAGCGGUGAAAUGCAUAGAUAUCACGAAGAACUCCGAUUGCGAAGGCAGCUUACCAGUCUGCGACUGACGCUCAGGCACGAAAGUGUGGGUAUCGAACAGGAUUAGAUACCCUGGUAGUCCACACAGUAAACGAUGAGCGCUAGGUGUCCGGGUCGCAUGAGACUUGGGU
Molecule: ribosomal RNA, 707 nt
Filed under: uncultured bacterium
Lineage: Bacteria
Description: bacterial SSU rRNA
Rfam family: Bacterial small subunit ribosomal RNA
Source: RNAcentral